GCUGACACAUUCCGGCCAAUCUCCAGCAGACCCUCCCUCCCAGACCCUCCCACCUCCUGGACAGCAUCCAUGUUGAAGCUGCCUUCAACAUGGAUGCUGUCCAGGAGGUGGGAGGGUCUGGGAGGGAGGGUCUGCUGGAGAUUGGCCGGAAUGUGUCAG
This is a non-coding RNA of Pelobates cultripes (western spadefoot toad), 159 nucleotides long. NCBI's taxonomy places the organism in Eukaryota, Metazoa, Chordata, Amphibia, Anura, Pelobatidae. The record is from the annotation of a GenBank genome assembly.